ACAUCAUUUGGAUACAACUUUAUUUCCAAAGCUAGUCUGAGGAGACUUCUGUUAGCCUAGGAAAAGCAAACACAGGUGGUCCCUGACACGUGAUGGUCUGACUUGAUGAUGGUGCAAAGGUACACACAUUCAGGAGAGACCGUACGUUUUCCUGCUCUCGUGAUAAGCAACAUCAUGAGUCUGAGGUCAGCCUGGUCUACAGAGCAAGUUUUAGGACUGCCAAGCUUAGGCAGGGAAAGACAGAAAGCUGGUGAAGAUGUAAGUGAACAAGGGGACCAUGUUCCAGCCCUAGUAAGCAGCAGAACUUGGCAGCUUUGGCCACGAGACUCUGGGUUAAGACUUAAGGAUAGAAGAAAGGCAUUAUGGAAUUAAGUCGCUGAGGCCAGGCUCGUGUCAGGGGUGACAUUGCGUGAAACUGUGAAGUUGAAGCCUGAAUUGCCUUGGAGAACUCAAGAUGUUGGCAAUGCCAGAGUCAUGGGAUGCCUGCUGAGGGGAGCUACUAACAGUGAUUGGAACCAGCCCAAGAGAAAGAAGUGUGAUACAGUCAGGAAGCUGGAUGAGUUGGAGUUGUGGAGCGCAUGUUGACAUCAGACGUGGAGAUGUAGAAUUUAGAGUUGUUCAGCUGGUUUUCAGUCUUUCUUUUGUCCAGUAUUUCCUUGAUAGGUGUGCUCCCUUCCUUGCACAUCUUGUGCCAUUAUAUGUUGGAGGCUCUCCGAAUGAACCGGGUGUUUGCUGGCUCAGUCCACUGGCUGACUAGAGAGCUCUGAGAAUGCAACGGUCUCCAAGACACCAGCCUCACAAUUAGAGGCACAUGGACCUCCCAGGCCCGGGCUCUGAUAAAGGAAGCAGCUAUCCACAGUGGACUGACUGUCGAUAGAGAAGAGGCCUGAGGCACCGAGGCUCAGUCCUGUGAUGCCCAGGAACCGAAUCCUGUCAUUGAACAAGGUAACUGGACUUGGAAGAAGACCCUGAGCUGCAAUGAGAACCAUGACUUCAGCAGCACUGAGAUUCAGUUGAUGUGUACCCAGAUCCUGACCCAUGGAAACAGACUACAAAUGUGACUUUUUGGGGGUUGGAGAGGUGGCAGUUACUUAGAGCACGUAUUGUUCUUACAAAGGUUCUGAGUUUUGUUCCCAGCACCUGCAUCAGGCAACUUGCAACUGCCUGUAACUAUAGCUCCAGAGGAUUGGACACCCCUGAGGGUGUCUGUCUGUUUUUCUGUCUGUCUCCUCCCUCCAUCCUCUCUCUUUUCUCUUUCUCUCAUUUCAUCAUAGCUCUAGGUACCAGAGUAGAUAAAAUGGUAUCUAUAUUAUUCUACUUGGUGACUUCCAACCCUCAAAUUGUAUGCAUCAUUAUAAGGGCAAUCGGGUUCUGAACAAGUGGCCAACCCCUCGUCCAAAGCGUAUCAGGUGUCCUAGAAACCAUUCUGUAAAACACGACUUUACUCUCUGGGGUCAGAGCUCAUCCUCAGUUGCUUGGAGUCGGGUAUGCAUAGAUUCCUCCACAGGCAAAGUCUUUACCUCAAGAGGACCUAGGUAUUCCUGGUGGCCUUGAUGUCCACAGCAUGCAACGUUUAGUGUUCCUUUCAGGAAGAGAGUGGAUUUAAGAGGAUCAAAAGACCUAACCUCCAGCCUGCUGUCAUUGUCUUCAGAAUCUCUUCCACUCGGAACUGAAGCGGUGGAUACUCCACUCUGACAGCUAAGCAUCAUAGAGAUACUAGACCCUCAGGCUUUCCCCACAGCGCAGAAUAAAUAUCCCUACCAUGUCAUAUUUGAUCUGGAGGUCUCUCCGUUGGAUUGUCUUGAAUUUUGCUAUGUAUGCAUCAUGCUCUGACGUGGUUAACCUGCUGAUCCAUCAUCCUGCCCAUUUUACUUGAGGUUUUUAAUUUACAUUAUAAUAUGAAGUAUUCUUUAUCCAAUCUAGUUUCCUUUCUCUUUUCUGCCGUAGGCAUUACCCAUCACUUCUCCGUGGUCCUAACUCCAUCUCAAUAUCUGCAUCACAGAGAUCCUGGCUAACUCAGUGACCUUCUGUGGUCAUGUGUGAGAACUGGAAAGGAGAAGUGUAAAAUCUGCAAAGAGAGGGAAGUGCGUGUGUGUGUGUGUGUGUGUGUGUGUGUGUGUGUGUAUGAGAGAGAGAGUCACAGAGACACACGCUCACAGAGACAGUUGCUUCUUUAUCCAUGUCCUCCACAGAAUGUUAUUAGCAGAUUUCCUUUUCUUUUACUUUUUUUUGUCACAAGGUUAUGUAAUCUAUAUUUGACAGCCUCUUCAGAAAGUGUGGGGGUGAAUUGGGACUACACAGUCAUCAUCCAAGUUGUUCUCUGUAUAUAGCGCCACCAAUAUGCAACCCCAGCACAACAGCAUCUAUACCACCAGGACUAAAAGAGCUGGGAAAACGCCAAGAAAAAUCCCCCAAGGCAAGUGGAGGAAGGGACCUGAGGGAAGAGAGUCCACACUAAUUGAGAUAAUCUCCUUAGAGUGUGGAAAAGAAAGGCAUUUCUGCUGAUAACAUUAAAAAGAAAGGACACCAAAGUAUGUAGCAGUGUAGCUCUGGAGCUAUUAAAAAUAAGCUGCUUAAGAAA
This is a non-coding RNA of Myodes glareolus (Bank vole), 2581 nucleotides long. The record is from RefSeq and is a predicted model, not a curated record. NCBI's taxonomy places the organism in Eukaryota, Metazoa, Chordata, Mammalia, Rodentia, Cricetidae.